This 867-nucleotide ribosomal RNA is filed under the name Bipolaris setariae. Its description in RNAcentral is "partial large subunit ribosomal RNA". It matches the Rfam family "Eukaryotic large subunit ribosomal RNA", at positions 43 to 928 of the family's 3401-position model. Lineage: Eukaryota; Fungi; Ascomycota; Dothideomycetes; Pleosporales; Pleosporaceae. The record is from RNAcentral.
ACAAUAAGCGGAGGAAAAGAAACCAACAGGGAUUGCCCUAGUAACGGCGAGUGAAGCGGCAACAGCUCAAAUUUGAAAUCUGGCUCUUUCAGAGUCCGAGUUGUAAUUUGCAGAGGGCGCUUUGGCUUUGGCAGCGGUCCAAGUUCCUUGGAACAGGACGUCACAGAGGGUGAGAAUCCCGUACGUGGUCGCUAGCUAUUGCCGUGUAAAGCCCCUUCGACGAGUCGAGUUGUUUGGGAAUGCAGCUCUAAAUGGGAGGUAAAUUUCUUCUAAAGCUAAAUAUUGGCCAGAGACCGAUAGCGCACAAGUAGAGUGAUCGAAAGAUGAAAAGCACUUUGCAAAGAGAGUCAAACAGCACGUGAAAUUGUUGAAAGGGAAGCGCUUGCAGCCAGACUUGCUUGCAGUUGCUCAUCCGGGCUUUUGCCCGGUGCACUCUUCUGUAGGCAGGCCAGCAUCAGUUUGGGCGGUGGGAUAAAGGUCUCUGUCACGUACCUCUCUUCGGGGAGGCCUUAUAGGGGAGACGACAUACCACCAGCCUAGACUGAGGUCCGCGCAUCUGCUAGGAUGCUGGCGUAAUGGCUGUAAGCGGCCCGUCUUGAAACACGGACCAAGGAGUCUAACAUCUAUGCGAGUGUUUGGGUGUCAAGCCCGAGCGCGUAAUGAAAGUGAACGGAGGUGGGAACCCGCAAGGGUGCACCAUCGACCGAUCCUGAAGUUUACGGAAGGAUUUGAGUAAGAGCAUGGCUGUUGGGACCCGAAAGAUGGUGAACUAUGCUUGAAUAGGGUGAAGCCAGAGGAAACUCUGGUGGAGGCUCGCAGCGGUUCUGACGUGCAAAUCGAUCGUCAAAUUUGGGCAUAGGGGCGAAA